RNAcentral lists this ribosomal RNA (460 nucleotides) under uncultured bacterium. RNAcentral's name for it is "partial 16S ribosomal RNA". It matches the Rfam family "Bacterial small subunit ribosomal RNA", at positions 338 to 795 of the family's 1533-position model. The record is from RNAcentral.
GCUACGGGAGGCAGCAGUGAGGAAUAUUGGUCAAUGGACGAGAGUCUGAACCAGCCAAGUAGCGUGAAGGAUGACUGCCCUCUGGGUUGUAAACUUCUUUUAUAAAGGAAUAAAACGAGGCACGUGUGCCUUUUUGCAUGUACUUUAUGAAUAAGGAUCGGCUAACUCCGUGCCAGCAGCCGCGGUAAUACGGAGGAUCCGAGCGUUAUCCGGAUUUAUUGGGUUUAAAGGGAGAGUAGAUGGGUUGUUAAGUCAGUUGUGAAAGUUUGCGGCGCAACCGUAAAAUUGCAAUUGAUACUGGCAGUCUUGAGUACAGUUGAGGUAGGCGGAAUUCGUGGUGUAGCGGUGAAAUGCUUAGAUAUCACGAAGAACCCCGAUUGCGAAGGCAGCUUACUAAACUGUGACUGACAUUGAUGCUCGAAAGUGUGGGUAUCAAACAGGAUUAGAUACCCUGGUAGUC